AGUUGGUGGAUUGAUUUGUCUGGUUGAUUCCGACAACGAACGAGACCUUUACCAGCUUGAUUGGAGUGCUUUCUUCGGAAGGUACUGCAUCCUAGCGGGACUUUGCGCGUUUAGUGCAAUGAGGUGAAGGCAAUAACAGGUCU
Molecule: ribosomal RNA, 143 nt
Filed under: uncultured eukaryote
Lineage: Eukaryota
Description: partial small subunit ribosomal RNA
Rfam family: Eukaryotic small subunit ribosomal RNA
Source: RNAcentral